CGGCGGACGGGUGAGUAACGCGUGGACAACCUGCCCUAUGCAGGGGGAUAACAUCCAGAAACGGGUGCUAAUACCGCAUAAGCGCACAGUACCGCAUGGUACGGUGUGAAAAGCUGAGGCGGCAUAGGAUGGGUCCGCGUUGGAUUAGGCAGUUGGCGGGGUAACGGCCCACCAAACCGACGAUCCAUAGCCGGCCUGAGAGGGUGGACGGCCACAUUGGGACUGAGACACGGCCCAGACUCCUACGGAAGGCAGCAG
Molecule: ribosomal RNA, 258 nt
Filed under: uncultured bacterium
Lineage: Bacteria
Description: partial 16S ribosomal RNA
Rfam family: Bacterial small subunit ribosomal RNA
Source: RNAcentral